GUAGGUGGCAAGCGUUGUCCGGAAUUAUUGGGCGUAAAGCGCGCGCAGGCGGUUCUUUAAGUCUGAUGUGAAAGCCCACGGCUCAACCGUGGAAGGUCAUUGGAAACUGGAGAACUUGAGUACAGAAGAGGAAAGCGGAAUUCCACGUGUAGCGGUGAAAUGCGUAGAGAUGUGGAGGAACACCAGUGGCGAAGGCGGCUUUCUGGUCUGUAACUGACGCUGAGGCGCGAAAGCGUGGGGAGCAAACAGGAUUAGAUACCCUGGUAGUCCACGCCGUAAACGAUGAGUGCUAAGUGUUAGGGGGGUUUCCGCCCCCCUUAGUGCUGCAGCUAACGCAUUAAGCACUCCGCCUGGGAGUACGGCCGCAAGGCUG
Molecule: ribosomal RNA, 373 nt
Filed under: uncultured organism
Description: partial 16S ribosomal RNA
Rfam family: Bacterial small subunit ribosomal RNA
Source: RNAcentral